CGCUAGCUACAGGCUUAACACAUGCAAGUCGAGGGGCAGCAUGGUCUUAGCUUGCUAAGGCCGAUGGCGACCGGCGCACGGGUGAGUAACACGUAUCCAACCUGCCGUCUACUCUUGGACAGCCUUCUGAAAGGAAGAUUAAUACAAGAUGGCAUCAUGAGUCCGCAUGUUCACAUGAUUAAAGGUAUUCCGGUAGACGAUGGGGAUGCGUUCCAUUAGAUAGUAGGCGGGGUAACGGCCCACCUAGUCUUCGAUGGAUAGGGGUUCUGAGAGGAAGGUCCCCCACAUUGGAACUGAGACACGGUCCAAACUCCUACGGGAGGCAGCAGUGAGGAAUAUUGGUCAAUGGGCGAGAGCCUGAACCAGCCAAGUAGCGUGAAGGAUGACUGCCCUAUGGGUUGUAAACUUCUUUUAUAAAGGAAUAAAGUCGGGUAUGGAUACCCGUUUGCAUGUACUUUAUGAAUAAGGAUCGGCUAACUCCGUGCCAGCAGCCGCGGUAAUACGGAGGAUCCGAGCGUUAUCCGGAUUUAUUGGGUUUAAAGGGAGCGUAGAUGGAUGUUUAAGUCAGUUGUGAAAGUUUGCGGCUCAACCGUAAAAUUGCAGUUGAUACUGGAUAUCUUGAGUGCAGUUGAGGCAGGCGGAAUUCGUGGUGUAGCGGUGAAAUGCUUAGAUAUCACGAAGAACUCCGAUUGCGAAGGCAGCCUGCUAAGCUGCAACUGACAUUGAGGCUCGAAAGUGUGGGUAUCAAACAGGAUUAGAUACCCUGGUAGUCCACACGGUAAACGAUGAAUACUCGCUGUUUGCGAUAUACAGCAAGCGGCCAAGCGAAAGCGUUAAGUAUUCCACCUGGGGAGUACGCCGGCAACGGUGAAACUCAAAGGAAUUGACGGGGGCCCGCACAAGCGGAGGAACAUGUGGUUUAAUUCGAUGAUACGCGAGGAACCUUACCCGGGCUUAAAUUGCAGAUGAAUUACGGUGAAAGCCGUAAGCCGCAAGGCAUCUGUGAAGGUGCUGCAUGGUUGUCGUCAGCUCGUGCCGUGAGGUGUCGGCUUAAGUGCCAUAACGAGCGCAACCCUUGUUGUCAGUUACUAACAGGUUCCGCUGAGGACUCUGACAAGACUGCCAUCGUAAGAUGUGAGGAAGGUGGGGAUGACGUCAAAUCAGCACGGCCCUUACGUCCGGGGCUACACACGUGUUACAAUGGGGGGUACAGAGGGCCGCUACCACGCGAGUGGAUGCCAAUCCCAAAAACCUCUCUCAGUUCGGACUGGAGUCUGCAACCCGACUCCACGAAGCUGGAUUCGCUAGUAAUCGCGCAUCAGCCACGGCGCGGUGAAUACGUUCCCGGGCCUUGCACACACCGCCC
This 1366-nucleotide ribosomal RNA is filed under the name uncultured bacterium. RNAcentral's name for it is "bacterial SSU rRNA". It matches the Rfam family "Bacterial small subunit ribosomal RNA", at positions 34 to 1395 of the family's 1533-position model. The record is from RNAcentral.